CGCGUAGGCGGCUUCGUAAGUCGGGGGUGAAAACCUGUGGCUCAACCACAGGCCUGCCCCCGAAACUUCGGAGCUUGAGGCCGUGAGAGGAAAGCGGAAUUCCUGGUGUAUCGGUGAAAUGAGUUGAUAUCAGGAGGAACACCGGUGGCGAAGGCGGCUUUCUGGUGCGGUUCUGACGCUGAGGUGCGAAAGCAUGGGGAGCAAACG
This 207-nucleotide ribosomal RNA is filed under the name uncultured bacterium. RNAcentral describes it as "partial 16S ribosomal RNA". It matches the Rfam family "Bacterial small subunit ribosomal RNA", at positions 568 to 774 of the family's 1533-position model. The record is from RNAcentral.